This 497-nucleotide ribosomal RNA is filed under the name uncultured bacterium. Its description in RNAcentral is "partial 16S ribosomal RNA". It matches the Rfam family "Bacterial small subunit ribosomal RNA", at positions 28 to 507 of the family's 1533-position model. The record is from RNAcentral.
GAUGAACGCUGGCGGCGUGCCUAAUACAUGCAAGUCGAGCGAACAGACGAGGAGCUUGCUCCUCUGAUGUUAGCGGCGGACGGGUGAGUAACACGUGGAUAACCUACCUAUAAGACUGGGAUAACUUCGGGAAACCGGAGCUAAUACCGGAUAAUAUAUUGAACCGCAUGGUUCAAUAGUGAAAGACGGUUUUGCUGUCACUUAUAGAUGGAUCCGCGCCGCAUUAGCUAGUUGGUAAGGUAACGGCUUACCAAGGCAACGAUGCGUAGCCGACCUGAGAGGGUGAUCGGCCACACUGGAACUGAGGCACGGUCCAGACUCCUACGGGAGGCAGCAGUAGGGAAUCUUCCGCAAUGGGCGAAAGCCUGACGGAGCAACGCCGCGUGAGUGAUGAAGGUCUUCGGAUCGUAAAACUCUGUUAUUAGGGAAGAACAAAUGUGUAAGUAACUAUGCACGUCUUGACGGUACCUAAUCAGAAAGCCACGGCUAACUACGUG